Non-coding RNA from Ictidomys tridecemlineatus (thirteen-lined ground squirrel), 69 nucleotides. NCBI's taxonomy places the organism in Eukaryota, Metazoa, Chordata, Mammalia, Rodentia, Sciuridae. The record is from Rfam.
GGGGUUGUGGCUCAGUGGUAGAGCGCUUGCCUUGAACACAUGAGGCCCUGGGUUCGAACCUCAGCACCA